AUACUCCCUCCGUCCGAAAAAGCUUGUCCCCCUCAAAUGGAUGUGUCUAGCACCAAGUUAGUGCUAGAUACAUCCAUUUAAGAGGCAAGUUUGGGACAAGUUUUUUCGGACGGAGGGCUGAAAUG
Molecule: non-coding RNA, 125 nt
Organism: Triticum aestivum (bread wheat)
Lineage: Eukaryota; Viridiplantae; Streptophyta; Magnoliopsida; Poales; Poaceae
Source: Rfam